GACAACGUGGCCGAGUGGUUAAGGCGAUGCACUCGAAAUGCAUUCUUCUCUGAAGGCGCAGGUUCGAGUCCUGCCGUUGUCG
This is a non-coding RNA of Batrachochytrium salamandrivorans, 82 nucleotides long. NCBI's taxonomy places the organism in Eukaryota, Fungi, Chytridiomycota, Chytridiomycetes, Rhizophydiales. The record is from Rfam.